This 468-nucleotide ribosomal RNA is filed under the name uncultured bacterium. RNAcentral's name for it is "partial 16S ribosomal RNA". It matches the Rfam family "Bacterial small subunit ribosomal RNA", at positions 28 to 507 of the family's 1533-position model. The record is from RNAcentral.
GACGAACGCUGGCGGCGUGCUUAACACAUGCAAGUCGAACGGAAAGGCCCUGCUUUUGUGGGGUGCUCGAGUGGCGAACGGGUGAGUAACACGUGAGUAACCUGCCCUUGACUUUGGGAUAACGGCAGGAGACUGGGGCUAAUAACGGAUAGGAGCUCCUGCUGCAUGGUGGGGGAUGGAAAGUUUCGGCGGUUGGGGAUGGAAUCGCGGGUUAUCAGGUUGUGGGGGGGGUAGUGGCUUACCAAGGCUUUGACGGGAAGCCGGCCUGGGAGGGGGACCGGCCAAAUUGGGACUGGGUUAGGCCCCGGCCCCCAAGGGGAGGCAGAGGGGGGGAAUUUGGACAAGUGGGGGGAGGCUGGUGGCAGCAACGCGCGGUGCGGGAGGCGGGCUUUCGGGUGUAAAACCGUUUUCGCAGGUAACGAAGGGUGUGUGACGGUAACGGGUAAAGAAGCACCGGCUAACUACGUG